Molecule: ribosomal RNA, 253 nt
Filed under: uncultured bacterium
Lineage: Bacteria
Description: partial 16S ribosomal RNA
Rfam family: Bacterial small subunit ribosomal RNA
Source: RNAcentral
UACGUAGGUGGCUAGCGUUGUCCGGAUUUACUGGGCGUAAAGAGCGCGCAGGCGGUCGUUCAAGUCGAGUGUGAAAGCCCCCGGCUCAACUGGGGAGGGUCACUCGAUACUGAUCGACUCGAAGGCAGGAGAGGGAAGCGGAAUUCCUGGUGUAGCGGUGGAAUGCGCAGAUAUCAGGAGGAACACCGGUGGCGAAGGCGGUUCUCUGGGCAUUACCUGACGCUGAGGAGCGAAAGUGUGGGGAGCGAACAGG